UACCUGCAACUCAAUUGCUCAAAUCGUCAUCGCUGUAUGUAUCGAGUAGCUUCUGCAUUCUACAGUGUGUGAGACGACGGAGAGAUGUCGUGCUGUGUUUCUUGCUGUGCAUCUUUGACAUGCGGUCUCUGCUCCUCGGUGGCGUCUGGGAUCUCCAAGAGAUCGGCGAGGAUCGGAUACUGCGGUCUCUUCGGUGUCUCUCUCAUAGUUUCCUGGAUUCUCAGAGAAUUCGCUGCUCCUCUCUUGGAGAAAUUCUCUUGGAUAAAUACUUCUGAUUCUUACACAAAAGAAUGGUAUCAGCAACAGGCAGUUCUACGAGUGAGCUUGGGGAAUUUCUUGUUUUUUGCAAUACUUGCGCUUAUUAUGAUUGGGAUAAAAGACCAGAAUGAUAGACGUGAUGUUUGGCACCAUGGUGCAUGGACUGCAAAGAUGGUGAUCUGGAUUUUACUUGUCAUCCUCAUGUUUUUCGUUCCUAAUGUUGUCAUCUCGAUAUAUGGAACUUUAUCGAAAUUUGGAGCUGGCUUGUUUUUAUUGGUUCAAGUGAUUAUAUUACUCGACUUUGUACACACAUGGAAUGAUGCAUGGGUUGCAAAAGAUGAACGUAAAUGGUAUAUUGCUUUACUUGCUGUGUCAGUUGGAUGCUACCUUGCAGCAUAUACAGUUUCAGGACUUCUCUUUAUAUGGUUCAACCCAUCUGGACAUGACUGUGGUCUCAACGUCUUCUUCCUUGUCAUGACCAUGAUUCUUGGAUUUGCCUUUGCAGUAAUAGCACUGCAUCCUGCGGUUAAUGGCAGCCUCUUGCCUGCUUCAGUGAUAUCACUUUACUGUGUUUAUGUGUGCUACACUGGUCUCUCCAAUGAACCUCGUGAUUAUGUCUGCAAUGGUCUCCAUAACAAAUCUAAAGCAGUCUCCACUGGUACUCUUGUUCUUGGGAUGCUCACAACAGUUCUCUCAGUCCUAUACUCUGCACUUCGUGCUGGUUCUUCAACAACGUUUUUGUCACCGCCAUCUUCACCUAAGUCGGGUGGAAACAAACCACUUCUUGAAGCGGAAUUGGAAGAAGGGAAAGGAAAUAAAAAGGAAACUGAAGCACAGCCAGUUAGUUAUUCCUAUUCGUUUUUCCACCUAAUUUUCGCCCUGGCUAGUAUGUACUCAGGCAUGCUUCUCUCGGGAUGGACCAGCUCAUCGGACAGCACCGACCUAAUAGAUGUCGGGUGGACAUCGGUCUGGGUUCGUAUAUGCACAGAGUGGGUCACUGCUGGACUCUACAUCUGGACCCUUGUUGGAGCUCUUAUUCUCCCCGACCGUGAAUUCUAAAUAGGCUAAACCUGUUCACUAAGCCACCUUCAAUGUCAGAAACUGUAUCCAAGAUUUAGUAUGUAUGUAGUUGAUGUGUUUGUCAAAAUUGUUCCUUGUGUGGAUUUACUUGUUUGUAUAUAUAUUGUUAGAUUUGAUAAGUCAUUAAAUUAUAUAAGAGUUUUCGUCACGGAUUUGGUCAUAAUUGGACUUGGAAUAUUGGAUGUGUGGUUUACCAAUUUUUGUCUGGAA
Tripterygium wilfordii is the source of this 1548-nucleotide RNA transcript. It is a transcript of the gene named serine incorporator 3, with no coding region annotated. The transcript has 7 exons. NCBI's taxonomy places the organism in Eukaryota, Viridiplantae, Streptophyta, Magnoliopsida, Celastrales, Celastraceae. The record is from RefSeq and is a predicted model, not a curated record.